GGCGAGAUGGCCGAGCGGUCUAAGGCGCCAGACUAAGGAUCAGCUAGCAUCUGCUGGCACAUCUGAUUCCCUCCAGAAUCAUCUGGUCCUCCGGGGCGUGGGUUCGAAUCCCACUCUCGUCA
Molecule: transfer RNA, 122 nt
Filed under: Schizophyllum amplum
Lineage: Eukaryota; Fungi; Basidiomycota; Agaricomycetes; Agaricales; Schizophyllaceae
Description: Auriculariopsis ampla tRNA
Rfam family: tRNA
About the family: Transfer RNA (tRNA) molecules are approximately 80 nucleotides in length.
Source: Rfam by way of RNAcentral